Bufo gargarizans (Asiatic toad) is the source of this 1260-nucleotide long non-coding RNA. RefSeq lists it as uncharacterized. The record is from RefSeq and is a predicted model, not a curated record. NCBI's taxonomy places the organism in Eukaryota, Metazoa, Chordata, Amphibia, Anura, Bufonidae. The transcript is spliced from 3 exons.
CCUUUGGAAAGUGUAGGCAACACCAAACAACCAAGAUAAAGCAUGAAAUGUGGAACUAUGCCAAUCCUAUCAACUUCUUCUUCCUUUUAACCUUGGAUAAGUAAACCUAGUGGAAGACAAGAGGUCAUUAAACUUCAGUCAUCUCAUCUGUCAAUUUCCUUUGGAAAGUGUAGGCAACACCAAACAACCAAGAUAAAGCAUGAAAUGUGGAACUAAGCCAAUCCUAGCAACGUCUUCUUCCUUUUAACCUUGGAUAAGUAAACCUAGUGGAAGACAAGAGGUACAUAUGUGAUAGAAAUCCACUACUAGUACAGACAAAACCAGCCAGCCAAACAUCAAGAAGCUAUAGCCUCUCAAUCUACUUACCUUUCCACAUGAAGCACCCAUCUUGUAUUAUUUCUUUCAGGUCAUUAAACUUCAGUCAUCUCAUCUGUCAAUUUCCUUUGGAAAGUGUAGGCAACACCAAACAACCAAGAUAAAGCAUGAAAUGUGGAACUAAGCCAAUCCUAGCAACGUCUUCUUCCUUUUAACCUUGGAUAAGUAAACCUAGUGGAAAACAAGAGGUACAUAUGUGAUAGAAAUCCACUACUAGUACAGACAAAACAAGCCAGCCAAACAUCAAGGAGCUAUAGCCUCUCAAUCUACUUACCUUUCCACAUGAAGCACCCAUCUUUUAUUAUUUCUUUCAGGUCAUUAAACUUCAGUCAUCUGUCAAUUUCCUUUGGAAAGUGUAGGCAACACCAAACAACCAAGAUAAAGCAUGAAAUGUGGAACUAAGCCAAUCCUAGCAACGUCUUCUUCCUUUUAACCUUGGAUAAGUAAACCUAGUGGAAGACAAGAGGUACAUAUGUGAUAGAAAUCCACUACUAGUACAGACAAAACCAGCCAGCCAAACAUCAAGAAGCUAUAGCCUCUCAAUCUACUUACCUUUCCACAUGAAGCACCCAUCUUGUAUUAUUUCUUUCAGGUCAUUAAACUUCAGUCAUCUGUCAAUUUCCUUUGGAAAGUGUAGGCAACACCAAACAACCAAGAUAAAGCAUGAAAUGUGGAACUAUGCCAAUCCUAUCAACUUCUUCUUCCUUUUAACCUUGGAUAAGUAAACCUAGUGGAAGACAAGAGGUCAUUAAACUUCAGUCAUCUCAUCUGUCAAUUUCCUUUGGAAAGUGUAGGCAACACCAAACAACCAAGAUAAAGCAUGAAAUGUGGAACUAAGCCAAUCCUAGCAACGUCUUCUUCCUUUUAACCUUGGAUAAGUAAACC